AGUCCGAUGGUGUAAUGGUAGCACAACUGAUUUUGGUUCAGUUAGUCUUGGUUCGAAUCCAGGUCGGACUACUA
This 74-nucleotide transfer RNA is filed under the name Chitinophagaceae bacterium IBVUCB1. Its description in RNAcentral is "tRNA-Gln". It matches the Rfam family "tRNA". From Rfam's summary of the family: Transfer RNA (tRNA) molecules are approximately 80 nucleotides in length. Their secondary structure includes four short double-helical elements and three loops (D, anti-codon, and T loops). Further hydrogen bonds mediate the characteristic L-shaped molecular structure. tRNAs have two regions of fundamental functional importance: the anti-codon, which is responsible for specific mRNA codon recognition, and the 3' end, to which the tRNAs corresponding amino acid is attached (by aminoacyl-tRNA synthetases). tRNAs cope with the degeneracy of the genetic code in two manners: having more than one tRNA (with a specific anti-codon) for a particular amino acid; and 'wobble' base-pairing, i.e. permitting non-standard base-pairing at the 3rd anti-codon position. Lineage: Bacteria; Pseudomonadati; Bacteroidota; Chitinophagia; Chitinophagales; Chitinophagaceae. The record is from RNAcentral.